CAGGCUCCUCCGAGCCCCUGAUGGCACGGCCAGGCCAGUCUGAGGCCCAGGGGAGGCCACAGGAGCGCCUGAGCCCAGGACAAAUCCCUGCCCUCCUGGGAGGGACCAGCUCGAAACACAGGUCUGUCGCCGGUGCUGGCUGCUGGAGGAGGGACACAUGGUCCCUGGGAUCUGGUCCUGGAGGAGAGGAACGUUUCAGAGACACCUGUGUGGCUCAGCUUUCCCUUGUCUGGAUGCCUGAAGAUGUGGAGAAGCACUAUGAUCCACCUCACAGUUCUUGACUAUUAUUGUAGAGGGCACAGAGCUAGAGGAGGACGAAGGCCCAAGAGCUGGACAUCUGGAUGAGCAGGCCCGGUGCUAAGACCCAGAUUCAACCCUGCGGAGGGCAGCCUGGGCUGGACCUGGCCUCUGGUUGGCCUCUUUCUCCGGAGAGACCCACAGCUCCCCCAAGAUGUCAGCACUUGGUGUGCCCGGUACUGAGAGAGCUGAGGUCGCAGAGAUGGUGGUAAUGUCCUGAGGGCCUACGGUGUGCCAGCCACUGUGCUAAGUGCUUCCAGAUGGACCACUUCACUGGACCCCUCCCAGCUACCCCCACGAGCAAUGUAUGAAACACCUACUAUGUGCCAGGCUAUUCUGGACUCGGAGAUCCUGCCGCCGAGAGAGAAUCCCUACCCUUUUGGAACAUGCGUCCCACUGCAUGAGAUGAAUAGAAACAAGGAAACAA
Long non-coding RNA from Mustela lutreola (European mink), 724 nucleotides. RefSeq lists it as uncharacterized. The transcript is spliced from 5 exons. NCBI's taxonomy places the organism in Eukaryota, Metazoa, Chordata, Mammalia, Carnivora, Mustelidae. The record is from RefSeq and is a predicted model, not a curated record.